This 501-nucleotide ribosomal RNA is filed under the name uncultured bacterium. RNAcentral's name for it is "bacterial SSU rRNA". It matches the Rfam family "Bacterial small subunit ribosomal RNA", at positions 29 to 505 of the family's 1533-position model. The record is from RNAcentral.
AACAAACGCUGGCGGCGUGCCUAACACAUGCAAGUCGUACGAGAAAGUCGGCUUCGGCCGAUGAGUACAGUGGCGCACGGGUGAGUAGCGCGUGGGUAAUCUGCCCCCCGGUCAGGAAUAACCCGCCGAAAGGCGGGCUAAUACCCGAUAACACUGACGCUCCGCGGAGCGUCUUUCAAAGGAGGCCUCUGUUUACAAGCUUUCGCCGGAGGAUGAGCCCGCGUACCAUUAGCUAGUUGGCAGGGUAAUGGCCUACCAAGGCUGCGAUGGUUAGCUGGUCUGAGAGGAUGGCCAGCCACACUGGAACUGAGACACGGUCCAGACUCCUACGGGAGGCAGCAGUGAGGAAUCUUGCGCAAUGGGGGAAACCCUGACGCAGCAACGCCGCGUGAGUGAGGAAGGCCUUCGGGUCGUAAGACUCUGUCAGAUGGAAGAAAUGGGUGGGGGCGUAAUAUCGCCCAUCCUUGACGGUACCAUCAGAGGAAGCACCGGCUAACUCCG